GGAUUGUGGCUCAGCGAUAGAGCGCUUGUCUAGCAAGUGUGAGGCCCUGGGUUCAAUCCUCAGCACCA
RNAcentral lists this transfer RNA (68 nucleotides) under Marmota monax (woodchuck). Its description in RNAcentral is "tRNA.Ala". The record is from RNAcentral. Lineage: Eukaryota; Metazoa; Chordata; Mammalia; Rodentia; Sciuridae.